Long non-coding RNA from Equus caballus (horse), 4732 nucleotides. The record is from Ensembl. NCBI's taxonomy places the organism in Eukaryota, Metazoa, Chordata, Mammalia, Perissodactyla, Equidae.
GAGCUAACUGCUGCCAGUCUUCUUCUUUUUGCUGAGGAAGGCUGGCCCUGAGCUAACCUCUGUGCCCCUCUUCCUCUACUUUAUAUGUGGGACACCCACCACAGCAUGGCGUGCCAAGCGGUGCCAUGUCCACACCUGGGAUCCAAACCGGCGAACCCCGGGCCACUGAGAAGCAGAACGUGCGAACUUAACCACUUUGCCACCAGGCCGGCCCCUCCAUGGCAUUUUCUGCAUAGACAAUCAUGUCAUCUGCAAAUAGAGACAAUUUUAUUUCUUUCAGUCCAAUAUGUAUGCAUUUUAUUUCCUUUGCAUGCCUUAGUGCACAGGUAGAAUUUCCUGUACUAUGUUAAAGUGGUGAGAGUGAACAUUUUUGCCAUUUUCUCAAACUUAGAGGGGAAGCAUUGAAUCUUUCAGCAUUAAGUAUAAUGUUAGCUGUAGGGUUUUUGUAGCUGUUCUUCAUUAAGUUAAGGAAAUUUCUGUCUACUCCUAUUUUCCUGAGAGUUUUUAUCAUGGAAGAGUGUUGAAUUUGAUCAGAUGGUGAGAGCUUUUACGCCACUUUGGUUAAACAGCUAGUCAAGUAGUUUCUUAGUGACCCUUGAUCCUAUUUUCCAAGUAUUCAAAAUUGUGACAACUUUGAUAAUUUGCCUUCCAAAAUCAAAUCCUAAAUGAAAUCUUCUUGAUCUGAAACUGACUUUGAGAUUUCCUAGAGGCCCCCUGGAAAAUAAAAAAGGAUUCAUUCUUUCACCUUGUAAAAACAGAUGCUAAAAAUAAUUAGGUUUAUUUGAUAUGUUGAGUUGCACACAAAGUCUUGUCAAAUAAGAAGAAAUGCUUAGCCUUCACUAGGUUAUAUAUGUAUGAGUCAAAUGUUAUUAAUAUAAAUAUUUCAUGUACUGCAUAAAGUUCCUAGAAAUUUGUCAAUGUCCUUCUUGUCAAUGACAUGUCCAGGGACUGCUUUGUCUGAUGUUAGACAACAAUAGUUACCAGGCAUAGUUCCAGCUAUUACUUUGAAAUGUUGUAUGCCACAGAAACAACCACAUUGCCUUGUUAAAGGAACUCUUAUCAGAUCUGUAACCACAUCAUUUUAAGUCUUUUGCCACCCACAGAUAGUUUUUGUUUUACUCUGAUACUUCCCUGAAAGUGCUUACAAUCAACUUCAGGCCAGAAUACCUAUCUCCAGCCAAAAGGGAUGGUCUCAGAGUUCAUGGAAAGGGCUGUGCCAGGUCCUCUGGGGCACAGGGUUCUGAUGGUGUCGCUUAAACAACUUAGACCCACACAGUUGGACUGAGUCAGGAUUUCCAGAACUCUAGUAGAGAAAUGAACGGGUUCAUGAACCUGCUAAGUCAAGAUCAAGCAUAACAAAAAUUAAUAACAUAGGGCUAAAUUAACUGAUGAAGGGUGAUUCUGGCUUUUGUUUGGAAUAUUGAUGAUGCUUUAAUGUUCUAUUUUCUGGAUAUAAAGAACUCUUUUUUUUCUUAAAUUAUCUAUAAAUCAUAACAAUUUAGAGUAUAAAUUGUUAUAAAAGUAUAACAGAUUAUACUUUUGUAAACAGAAAUAAAACAUUUAUCUUUUUCUCCUUGCCUGAUCCCUCCAGAAUUCAGAAACUCUUAGUGAGUAUUCUAAUUUUCAUGGCAUAUAAUUAUUUGCAUAGGUUCAAUAAGAAUCUGACCUCCUUGUAACAGGAUACAAUUUAUUUAAAAAGAUUAUAUAACCAAAGCUUUGACUGAAAUGUCAUAUUUGAGAAUGAUGCAUAGAAUCAGAUAUGACUCAUUUUAAAGAACCAAGGUUGACUUUAUGGAGCCCAUGUUUACAAAACCCUCUUGGGAAAAGCUUGCUUACAAGGUUCUUAGCUUUACAAAUGAAUAAAGAUGGUUACUUCCUGGCAGGCCCAGGAUAUUUUGGGGUCCCUGAGAAGAGAGGAAUUCACCCAAAUCUCUUACGUGUUUCAGGUAAAGUCUAUUGGUAAGUUCUUGGCUUAGCUUCCUAGCCUCAAGAGGCUUUUAAAAGUCCAAUCUGAGGUUUCUUAAGAAAAGUUCCAGCAAAGCAAACUAAAAAUGGUGUAUGUGGUUAAUUACCAUUCUUUCUGUGCUUAUGAAAAGAAUCAGGGCAAAUCUAAUAAGAUUGGACACGUGUAAACAAGAAUAAUAUUACUUUUAUUAUCUGGUCCAAAGGGAAGAUGACCGUACAAAUGUUGUAUUUCAAUAGAAAACUAUAGCACACCCUAUGGCUUAUCAGAUCCUCAUCCUGUUCAUUGUCUUUAAGCUGUUUCUCACCUCUUUAUAAACUGCCUAGUUUUGUUACCUACCUAUAAAUUGGACUGGAUCCUGCUCUCUUGUACAUUUUGUCAUUCAUUAUCAAAUUCUCAAUUCUACUUUCCUUCAACGUCUGGCUACAACUCUCCAAACUAAUGUUUCCAAUUUUUCUCCCAUCCUCCUGACUUGGUGUCAAUCAGAACUAAAACCUGACUGCCCAGGUCUUUACUGGGACUCUAGAUUGUCUUGUACUGGCUUUUCUCCAAGGAUCUAAAGGAGCACAAUGAGCUGAAGGUGGGUGGCUUGAUGGAUAUGUCAAAGGACUCAUCACCAUAGUGGCUCAUGUGGACAGUCUUGGUGACUGGAGCUGCUGCUCUGUGGUCCACUCAGAAAGUUCCCUGGAAGUCCCACAUCUUCCAUGCCCUGCUCCAGGAAAUACUACUCAUGACUAUGGACAAGCUUACUCAAACUUCUCAGAUGUCUAUGCCACCACCAAAAACAUUUAAGCUGCUAACCAGGAAAUCUAUCACAUUGCCACUGCCAUUCUCACUCAACUAUCUAAAGACUCUUUGAGUCCAGUGUAUAAAAAUCUUCUCAACUGGCUGCCCUUUUGUCUCAGAAACUGGGUUUAUAAUCUGUUCCAACCAUUAAUCUUAUUCUCUUUCUUCCCGCAGAAACUCCCCUCGUUAAUGCCUGAUUUCUUGCACCCUUCAACAAGUGUUCUAUACUGUUAAGUCUCAACAGAUGAUUCAGUUGUACUUCAACCACAGAAAUGUGCUGAAACAAACUACGUAGACGAGCUUUCCUAAAUUGUUCAAUGGGAACAAGGAUUUCCCUUGAACAAAAAGGGGGACUGACUGAUAUGACCUUGACAUUCCUCUUAGGUUGACUAAACUUUAGACAGCUUUCUUCUCAACAAUAGGCCCCGACCACCUUUUUCUUAGAGUUUUUAUUUUAGAAAGUUUGUAACUGCAAAUUCUUUCUCUGCCUCUCUGAAAUGUAUAUAAAUUUUCUCUCAGCCUGUUGCAAGAUUUAUAAUCCAGAACUGUUGUUCUCAAGGACCUGGGAGCCAUCCCUUUGAAAUGUAAUCAAGAAAGACAAGGCCCCUAUCUCCCAGUCUCUGUGGGAGAGUGCACAAUCUUGAUAAGCUAACCUUGAUAAGCACCAAUCAGUAAACACAGAUGGCCAAAUCACGUUGCCCAAUCUCCCCGAAUACAUCCGCCAGUACUUUUUCACUAGCUCUCCCCAGCAGUUAAAAACUCUCCUGUCUUUUAUUUCAACAGAACUGAGUUCAAUCAAUCUUCCCCAAUGCAAUAGUCUUAAUUCCUAAUAGAAUAAGUCUUGAGUAAAAUCUUCCUUGCCUCUUUAUCUCUGUCUGGUGCAAUUUUUCAUUGACAUCCUCCAGUCUACUGUUGAGCGCAUCCUCUGAGGUUUUUUCUUUUUUUUAAAAUUUUGGUUAUUGUAUUUUUCAGUUCUAAAAUUCCCAUGUGAUUCUUAUAUCUUCUAUUUCUUUGCUGAGAUUUUCUAUUUUUCUUCUUUUCCAGGGUGCUCAUAAUUGCUUGUUGAAGCAUUUUUUAUGAUAGCUGCUUGAAAUCAUUGUCAGAUAAUUGCAAUAUCUCUUGGUGUGGCAUCUAUUGGUUCUCUUUUUUAAAAUUCAGUUUGAGAUCUUCCUGGUACUUGGUAGGAUGAGUGAUUUGUUACUAAAAUUUGGAAAUUUUGAUAGCUAUAAAUGAUUACAUUAAAAGAGAUGAAAGAUCUCAAACCAACAACCUAACUUUACAUUUUAAGGAACCAGAAAAGGGAGAGCAAACUAAACCCAAAGCUAUUAGAAAGAAGGAAAUAAUAAAGAUUAGGGUGGAGAUAAUUUUAAAAAGUGAAAGAGAGAGUAGAAAAACAAUAGAUAAAAUCAAUAAAAUUAAGAGUUAGUUCUUCAAAAAUAUCAUCAAAAUUGACAAACUUUUAGCUAGAUUGACAAGAAAAAGAGAGUAGCAAACUGAAUUCAGCAGCCUAUUAAAAGGAUUAUAUACCAUGACCAAGUGGGAUUUACUCCUGGAAUACAAUGAUGGCUCAACAUAUGAAACUCAAUCAAUAUAAUACAUCACAUUAACAGAAUGAAGGAAAAAACCCACAUGAUCAUCUCAAUUGGUGUAGAAAAAGCAUUUGACAAAAUACAACACCCUUCCAUGAUAAAAACACUCAACAAACUAAGAAGAGAAGUACCUCAACAUAAUAAAGGCCAUAUAUGAAAAACCCACAGCUAACAUCAUACUCAAUGGUAAAAAAAUUAGUUUUUCCCCCUAAGAUCGGGAAUAAGACAAGGAUGCCCACUUUUGCCACUUCUGUUUAAUGUAGUACUGGAAGUCCUAGCCUGAGGAAUUAGGCAAGAAAAAGAAAUAAAAGGCAUCCAAAUUGGAAAGGAAGAAGUAAAAUUAUCUCUGUUCACAGGUGACAUGAUCUUAUAUGUAGAAAACUCUAAAUAUCCC